RNAcentral lists this transfer RNA (73 nucleotides) under Winogradskyella sp. PG-2. Its description in RNAcentral is "tRNA-Arg (ACG) (tRNA-Arg-ACG-2-1)". It matches the Rfam family "tRNA". From Rfam's summary of the family: Transfer RNA (tRNA) molecules are approximately 80 nucleotides in length. Their secondary structure includes four short double-helical elements and three loops (D, anti-codon, and T loops). Further hydrogen bonds mediate the characteristic L-shaped molecular structure. tRNAs have two regions of fundamental functional importance: the anti-codon, which is responsible for specific mRNA codon recognition, and the 3' end, to which the tRNAs corresponding amino acid is attached (by aminoacyl-tRNA synthetases). tRNAs cope with the degeneracy of the genetic code in two manners: having more than one tRNA (with a specific anti-codon) for a particular amino acid; and 'wobble' base-pairing, i.e. permitting non-standard base-pairing at the 3rd anti-codon position. The record is from Rfam by way of RNAcentral. Lineage: Bacteria; Pseudomonadati; Bacteroidota; Flavobacteriia; Flavobacteriales; Flavobacteriaceae.
AAGCUUAUGGUGUAAUUGGAUAACACUCUAGAAUACGACUCUAGGAAUAUGGGUUCGAAUCCUAUUAGGCUUA